CCUCCCUCCCAGGGCUUCCUCCCCCAGGAGGGAUAGCAGGAAGGCAGGCAAGGACAGGACCUGAGUCCACACCUCGUCCGCGGUCACCUGCCUGACCAGGAGGAAGGGGAGGGGACAGGAGUGAUUCCACGGAGGUCACCUGGGAGCUGGGGCUGGGCGACCCCAGGGCUGGAUGACCUCAGGGCUGGGUGACCUCAGGGCUGGGUGAUCUCAGGGCUGGGUGACUUCAAGGCUGGGUGACCUCAGGGCUGGAUGACCUCAGGGCUGGGUGACCCCAGGGCUGACUAUUGGCGGAGCACCUGGGGUGGGUGCCAUGGGCACCUGAGAGGGAACUUUGACCUGAGCGGAGGUCAGAACCCUCCUCUGAGGAAGUGCCCCACCCCACUGAGCUCCCAGAGGCUGGUGGCAGGUUGAACAGGGGACUAUGCCAGCAGAGGGACUGCCUUCCAGAGACUUUGGAUCAUCACCACGAUGGGUUGAUUUUACAAAUUUAGCCACUGUCACCGGAGGCCUGGCUGAACUUCAGAGUUUCUUCUCCAGCGUCGGUUUCUUGAUUGCCUAAAGUUCCUUCCAGUCUAAUACUCUGGGAUUCUGGGCCAGUUUCUGGUCUGUCACAGCUGAAUAAGAGUGCAAGGGCAGGAGUGGAAUGUUCAGACUGCUCCAAGAGGACCUUGGCCCAGAUUCGGGCACACUCUGGUGUAACCUGCUUCGCUCGUUCGCGGGAUGGGUGGUGAGCAUGGAGCCCAUUUUCCCAUGUGGCAUUUCAGCAACAGGACUUGGCUAUUUGAAACUCCCCAGACAUAGCAGGAUUUAAAAAACGGAUCCCCUCUGGCUGGGCAUUUAGGUUGCUUUCACUUCUGGGCUGCUAUAAACAGCCUGCAGUUACUGCCUCAGGACGCCUUUCUGGAAGAUUCUUCUGCAGCACACACACUGCCUCCUCUGAAGUGUCCUGGCUGCAUGUGCUGCUCUCCUUGCCCUGGGCUGCCCUCUUCUCCCUGGUGUCAUGAGUAUCUGCUGACCUUCUGCUUCUCCCAUGACAGAGUGCCUUCCUUCUCUUCCUUCUCUGCCUUGGCCUCCAGCACGUAGUAGGCGCCUAGGAAAUGUUUUCCAGCAGAACGAGCCAUCUCCUGGCUGGUUUAGCAGUGUGGGAUUGUGUGGUGUUUCUAUUAGUCUCCAUGAACAAGUGCCACUGUGUUAUUAAAUUUUUC
This 1208-nucleotide long non-coding RNA is filed under the name Homo sapiens (human). RNAcentral's name for it is "HSALNT0406291". Lineage: Eukaryota; Metazoa; Chordata; Mammalia; Primates; Hominidae. The record is from RNAcentral.